CCUACGGGAGGCAGCAGUGGGGAAUAUUGCACAAUGGGGGAAAGCCUGAUGCAGCGACGCCGCGUGAGUGAAGAAGUAUCUCGGUACGUAAAGCUCUAUCAGCAGGGAAGAUAAUGACGGGACCUGAACAAGAAGCCCCGGCUAACUACGUGCCAGCAGCCGCGGGAAUACGUAGGGGGCAAGCGUUAUCCGGAUUUACUGGGUGUAAAGGGAGCGUAGACGGCAGAACAAGUCUGGAGGGAAAUACCGGGGCUUAACCCCGGAACUGCUUUGGAAACUGGGCGGCUGGAGUGCAGGAGGGGUAAGCGGAAUUCCGAGUGUAGCGGUGAAAUGCGUAGAUAUUAGGAGGAACACCGGUGGCGAAGGCGGCUUACUGGACUGUAACUGACGUUGAGGCUCGAAAGCGUGGGGAGCAAACAGGAUUAGAUACCCCUGUAGUC
This 440-nucleotide ribosomal RNA is filed under the name uncultured bacterium. Its description in RNAcentral is "partial 16S ribosomal RNA". It matches the Rfam family "Bacterial small subunit ribosomal RNA", at positions 338 to 795 of the family's 1533-position model. The record is from RNAcentral.